RNAcentral lists this ribosomal RNA (466 nucleotides) under uncultured bacterium. RNAcentral's name for it is "bacterial SSU rRNA". It matches the Rfam family "Bacterial small subunit ribosomal RNA", at positions 28 to 524 of the family's 1533-position model. The record is from RNAcentral.
GACGAACGCUGGCGGCAUGCCUAACACAUGCAAGUCUAGGGGUAGCAAUACCACUGGCGCACGGGUGAGUAACACGUAGGUUAUCUGCCCCUAUCACAGACAUAACCCCGGGAAACCGGGGCUAAUAUCUGAUGAGGUCGCGAGAUCAAAGCUUCGGCGGAUGGGGAUGAGCCUGCGGCUGAUUAGCUAGUUGGUGAGGUAAUGGCUCACCAAGGCGACGAUCAGUAGCUGGUCUGAGAGGACGAACAGCCACACUGGAACUGAGACACGGUCCAGACUCCUACGGGAGGCAGCAGUGAGGAAUAUUGGUCAAUGGGAGCAAUCCUGAACCAGCAAUGCCGCGUGUGGGAUGACAGGGCUUCGCCUUGUAAACCACUGUCGGACGGGACGAAAGGAGGCCUCGGGCCUCUGGGACGGUACCGUCAAAGGAAGGGUCGGCUAACUACGUGCCAGCAGCCGCGGUAAU